RNAcentral lists this unclassified non-coding RNA (252 nucleotides) under Ascomycota sp. RNAcentral describes it as "partial contains small subunit ribosomal RNA, internal transcribed spacer 1, and 5.8S ribosomal RNA". The stretch from base 1 to 47 matches the Rfam family "Eukaryotic small subunit ribosomal RNA", at positions 1785 to 1831 of the family's 1831-position model. The record is from RNAcentral. Lineage: Eukaryota; Fungi; Ascomycota.
AAAGUCGUAACAAGGUUUCCGUAGGUGAACCUGCGGAAGGAUCAUUACAGAGUUAUGCCCUUAAAUUGGGUAGACCUCCAACCCUUUGUGUACUUGACUUUUGUUGCUUUGGCGGGCCGUUAGGCUUUUGCUUUCCAUCGGCUUUAAGCUGAUGUGUUGCCCGUCAGAGGAAAUUAAAACACUGAAUUUUAAAUUGUCUGAGUAUUAAAACAAAAUUAAUUAAAACUUUCAACAACGGAUCUCUUGGUUCUG